AUGACAGGGACUCUCUUUCCAAGAAAUUACACUGUGUUCAGUUCUCUCCCAUCAAGAGCAGGCAAUGUUCCGGAUCCGGCCAUUGUCGUGUCUGCCGAAAAACCACAUCUGGUUCACCACCGCCUCAACAGAUACACAAUGAAAUACAAAGGCCAAUUCUGCGGUGUACACAAUCCGUGUCAGUUUACCCAGAGGAUUCCAGAUGGAAUGAACUCCGCAGACGGGGUUCACGGAGCGCAGGCGAUGCUGGGGGAGGAGCCCUCAUUGUCUCCCUUGGAAAUCGUAAGGCGAAUGUUGGUGCUGGGAGGACAUCUCGCGCUGCAGCGGUGGAGGCGGAGGCGUUUUACACGUUGUUAAGGUAGGAGUGACGGCAUCUGUAUUUAAACCUAAUAGAAAAUAUCAGCCACCGUUUCUUGAAUGUCUGCUCUAGGCCAGAGGCCGGGCUUAAGAAUUUUCUUUGCCUGGACACAGUUCUGUGAGGUCGCCAGAGGUGUGGCUCUUGAGCGUUUUAUAGAUGUGGUAAAGUGACCUUCCCCAAACUGGAGUGGCUUCGUGUUUUUGAUUGUUUACCUGUAUCUCAUUGAUGUUGAGUAUAUGCCCAGGAGUUUGUUUAUUUGUUUGUUUAUUUAUUUGCUUUUUAGGGCCACACCUUUGGAAGUUCCUGGGCUGGGGGCCGAAUGGGAGCUGCCGUGACCCGCCUGCACCAAGCCACAGCAACGCGGGACCUGAGCCGCGUCUGCAGCCUCACACCACAGCUCACAGCAACACUGGAUCCUUAACCCUCUGAGCAAGGCCAGGGAUUGAACCCGCAUCUCGAGGAUACUUGUCGGGCUCAUUACCAGUGAGCCACAACGGGAACUCCUGCCCAGUAGUUGAAUUGCCCUGUCAUACCUGGGUUUGCUGCCAGACCAUUUUCUAAAGUCCUGAUAUUAACCCAAGGAGCAGAGCCACAUUUGGGAGUACGUCUGGCUGGUGCCUGCUCUAAUAUUUUUAGACUCAGCAAUAUAUCCCAUCAAGAUGCCACGUGUAAAGAAUAGGGUCUUUCCAAGAAAACAUUGCUCCUGGCAAAUAGAGAUUUGUGGGGGGGGGGCGAUUGCUUUAUUUUGCAAACAUUUCUAUUAAUAUCUGACAACAACGUACCCACGACGUGGAUAAAUCUCAAGCAAACAGCUCACUGAAUUUUCACAAAGUGAUUACUCCCUUGAGAGCUCCCCCCCAUCAAGGUACAGGGCAUGACUACAUUGAGAUCCUGCUGUAUAGCACAGGGAACUCUGUCUAGUCACUCAUGAUGGAAUACGAUGGAGGAUAAUGUGAGAAAAAGAAUAUGUGCGUGUGUGUGUGUGUGUGUGUGUGUGUGUGUGUGUGUGAGUGAUUGGGUCACUUGGCUAAACAGCAGAACUUGACAGAACAUUGCAACUAUAAUAAAAAAAAUGUAAAAAAAAAUAAAUAAAAAUGU
This 1456-nucleotide long non-coding RNA is filed under the name Sus scrofa (pig). RNAcentral's name for it is "lncRNA (ENSSSCG00035038052.1)". The record is from RNAcentral. Lineage: Eukaryota; Metazoa; Chordata; Mammalia; Artiodactyla; Suidae.